Non-coding RNA from Dipodomys ordii (Ord's kangaroo rat), 70 nucleotides. The record is from Rfam. NCBI's taxonomy places the organism in Eukaryota, Metazoa, Chordata, Mammalia, Rodentia, Heteromyidae.
GGGAAAGUGGCUCAGUGGUAGAGCACUUGCCUUGCAUGCAUGAAGCCCUGGAGUUAAUUCCUCAGCACCA